Thamnophis elegans (Western terrestrial garter snake) is the source of this 380-nucleotide long non-coding RNA. RefSeq lists it as uncharacterized. The record is from RefSeq and is a predicted model, not a curated record. The transcript is spliced from 2 exons. NCBI's taxonomy places the organism in Eukaryota, Metazoa, Chordata, Lepidosauria, Squamata, Natricidae.
UACCCUGUUUUAUCCCUUCCUAUUGGGAGAUGGCAGUCAGAUGGGCAACAUUGGGGUUGAGUUUUAAAGAGUUAAACCAUCAAGUGUUGCAUUGCUAGAAAGGGUGGGGGAGAGAAGUACAGGAUCGCUGACGGGAGGAAGAAAAGCCGAGUGGUUUCUGGGCUCCUGCAAGAGUCGAAGCAGCAGCACCUGGUGGAUGAAGAGGAUACCAACAAGAGUACUCUGCACAACUGAGAAUAACCAGCAUCUUUGAAAAUGAAAGCAAAUUGAGCUUUCAGGAAAGCACACAAUUCUUCUCUUUCCCCAGCUGGUGAGAGACAAAGGGGAGAAAAUCCAGAACAAAUUUCAAACUGGAAAAAAUAGAGUAUGCAGAACUCAAC